RNAcentral lists this ribosomal RNA (254 nucleotides) under uncultured bacterium. RNAcentral describes it as "partial 16S ribosomal RNA". It matches the Rfam family "Bacterial small subunit ribosomal RNA", at positions 524 to 776 of the family's 1533-position model. The record is from RNAcentral.
UACGUAGGGCGCAAGCGUUGUCCGGAAUUAUUGGGCGUAAAGAGCUCGUAGGCGGCCUGUUGCGUCCGCUGUGAAAUCCCGGGGCUCAACCCCGGGCCUGCAGUGGAUACGGGCUGGCUAGAGGCAGGCAGGGGAGAACGGAAUUCCUGGUGUAGCGGUGAAAUGCGCAGAUAUCAGGAGGAACACCGAUGGCGAAGGCAGGUCUCUGGGCAUUAACUGACGCUGAGGAGCGAAAAGCAUGGGGAGCGAACAGG